Molecule: ribosomal RNA, 119 nt
Filed under: Pelobates cultripes (western spadefoot toad)
Lineage: Eukaryota; Metazoa; Chordata; Amphibia; Anura; Pelobatidae
Source: RNAcentral
GCCUACGGCCAUACCACCCUGAACACGCCCGAUCUCGUCUGAUCUCGGAAGCUAAGCAAGGUUGGGCUUGGUUAGUACUUGGAUGGGAGACACCAUGGGAAUACCAAGUGUUGUAAGCU